UAUUAUAUUAUAGAUUUUAAAGUAAACGUAAUAUCGUCUGUUUUGGGUCUAAGGACUGUCUUUUCGUAAACCUUCUACCGGCGUAGUGUACGGUAAGUAUUUAGUAAUACAUUAUUUUAUAUAAAUACGUUGCUAAACCAUGCAAUGAUAUUCAUAUGAGGUUGUCAUUUGUCAUUUAUCGCAAAAGCAGUUUUAGGACCGAUUUAAGUGUUAAGAUUUACGGUUUAUAACAGUGGCAUAGUUUAACGAUUUGUAACGAGUGGUCAUAUAUACAUGUAACUACAAACAUCAACGGGGAGUUCACAACCUUUUGCUAGUUUAUUUAAAAAAAAAAAAUACUAUGCAUCGAAGCUUUUUUAAAAGUAUUAGAUUCGACUUGUUUACGUGUUAUUACAAAUACUUGAAGAGCAAUAGCUCAUAAGAAAGAUUUUUGUGAAUGCGAAGGGGGCAUAAUUUACUAUGCGGUUUUGUUAAUUAUUGAUGCCUCUUCACAUAUACGGAUUUUUCAUUCGAGGCCUUUUAUAUUGUCAUAUCGUAGUCUAUCGCAAGCAUCCGUAAUUUAGAACUAGAUCGUAAAAAAACAGUAAUAUAUCAAACAGCAAACCAACGAAAACCCCUUUAUACGUACAAGUACAAUGUACACCUAGCAUAGGACAUGCGCAUACAGAAUGUGAUGGGUUUGUACAGAGUACAACAAACUUUUACUAAAUUCUUUCAAAAGUACAAAAAUAUGGGUUAUACAUUUUGGCUGUACGUUUUAUACCCGUAAAACUCUUAUUACAAUCGGAAUUCUACUCUCCUCUAUUUUAUUGUGACGUUUAUAGAGCCUAUUAUUUCAUAUGCGAUCCAUGUUAUUAACUUAUGGAUUUUUUUAAUGCAGUUAUUCUGGAUUUUUAUCAUUUUUUUAAAAGCACCAUAUAUAUAUAUAUAUAUAUAUAUAUAUAUAUAUAUAUAUAUAUAUAUAUAUAUAUAGUAUAGUUAAAUAAUUUGAUAUGGUCAAUUAGAACUAACAUUAUUUUGCUUUUGAUUCGUCAAACUAAAUAUGUAUAAUUGCUAAACAGUUUUCAAAGCUUAUCGUCAUUUGUCGUGUCGAUACUAGGUACUUAUAAAAGUGUUUUGGGGACAUGCGUUGUUUACCCGAGUUAGUUGGCUUUGACCGAGCUUUCAUUUAUUUUGAAUCAUGGCAGGUUUAUCCCGGUCUAUUUGUAUAUACCAAAUUGAUUCCAGUAUACAUACUGAGUGAUCAUAUCUUUGAUUACUUUUUUUUUUAUUAUUACAGAAAACAAAACAAAGAUGUUGACGCUCAGAAGAUUUCUACGAGCUAUAUUUAUCUUGCCGUUUUCAGCAGGGCAUCCUCGUAACUAUCAAAUCAGCGCGGUUAUAUCCCAUGAUGGAAGCAUAUCCGGAUUGGUUUUCUUGGUAGGCAUUGUAGUAAUUCUCUGUGAGACUUUAGUAAUAUGUUCUGAUGGUACAUUCAGUCUUUUCACAACCACGAUGACUGUGACCACGUGUUUAGCAAUUUUUAUUUGUGUGUCCCUCAGUGUUUAUGCAUCUAUACAACCGGAGGUUACAGUCCGGAAGGAAGACUGGGAUAUAAGUCAUAAAAUCAUGCUAAGAUUUCUUUGGCUUUUCACACUUGCAAGUAUGACCUAUAGUGUCAUUUAUUUAGCUUAUCACAUUGAUUGCUUCAGAGGAUAUUUCGAUUUACUUAACGUUAGAGAGCGCAUAGUAUGUGAUUGCUUGCUUUUUAUCUUCCGUUUUGUUCAGACUGGAUUUCUUACACAGUUUUCCCACCGUUCGUUCGUUAACAAUCUUGGAUCAUAUUAUGGCUUACUCAUAUUGUUUCUUGCGAAUAUUUCAGUAAUAGUUAUUGAGUUUGUUCACGAACUACAAGAUAUCCGUGACUAUAGCGUUAAUAGUACUACCAAUUCAUCCCUAAUUUGCCUCACCAAUUCGACUACUGUUCAUGUCAUGCAGAGUGUUGAAAGCUACAUGGAUCCAACCGUACUAGAGUAUUCCUUGCUGGCAAUUCUGUUUGUGUCUGAGCUAUGGCCAAAGAGAUCGAACGACAAAAGGAAGUAUUCCUGCGUUUACGAUAGUAUGAAUACAGAGGAGAGUACAAGGUUGAUAUUAUCCGAGAGUAACGAGCACAUGAAUCGACAAAUGUCAAUUAAUUGUGUACCAAAUGAGCCACGUGACAGAACAUUAGCUUUUAUAGUAGUUGCAUCUGCAGUUCUUAUCAACACUCCGUGUAUAAUUCUAUUUGCACUUCGAAUAUACGGACCAGGAAAUCCAUCUGUAGAUAAAACAUUAAACAUUUACAACAGCACUGAAGUGACAGUUUUAUUAUUUGUACUUUUUAGAUGUUUUUAUCUUAUACAAACUGAUUGCAUGCCUACUGAAAAAAUAUACAAAUAUGUGUCAAAGGACUAUAUGAUUUUAGUUAGUUUUGUCGGCUCGUUGGUAUAUUAUACAAUGCGACUUAUAGCCUACGCAAAACUGUUUCACGACGAUAAUACGAAUGGCGUAAAGUUAUUCAGCUAUGUAAUUAUGAUUUUUGCAGUUUACUUGCAAACAGUCUUUAUUUUUCAAAUGAAGAGCUAUGAAAGAAUACGUUCGCCAAUAUCCAAUUGUAUGUCAAUUGAAUACGCAUGUCUUUUUAUGUCUAUGAAUAAUUUAAUUAUUUGGGGAACAGACUCAUUCCUCGCUUCAUCAAUAGUAUUCGCAACGGAUGCCCCAACUCUCCUUUAUGGAAAGCAAGUAUGGGUCACAUGUUAUUUCCUUUUAUUUCCAAUUGUCAUGUUCUAUCGCUUUAAAUGCUUUGUAGCGUUCUAUGGACUAUACCAUAAGCUGGUGAAACGAAAUGCUUGAUAUACAACUUAGGGAGCAACCAUUCAAUGUACAAAAAAGGAGGGGAGGGGAGGGGUUAUGGCUUCUCGUCCGAGUCAGAAAAGCACGAGUAUUUGGUUUUUAGUUUUUCGACAUUCACUAUUCAAAAUUUAAUCUAUAGGGUAAAGGGAAAAUCUUUGAUUCAGAUUAUAUUGUUUUGUCAUCUGCUUGAUCACAAUAUUUUUUUCGUCAAAUUGGGAAUCAUUUUUUAAUGAAAUAUAACACCCUCUCUCUCGAAGUUUAAUGGUCGUUUCCUUACUGGAUGAUUUUUAAUUUAGUCUUGACAUACAUGUAUGUAUACAAUAUAUUAAACUCGAUGUAUAUGA
Molecule: long non-coding RNA, 3215 nt
Filed under: Mytilus galloprovincialis (Mediterranean mussel)
Lineage: Eukaryota; Metazoa; Mollusca; Bivalvia; Mytilida; Mytilidae
Source: RNAcentral